GACGAACGCUGGCGGCGUGCUUAACACAUGCAAGUCGAACGGUGAAGGGACUGGUUUUGCUGGUCCUGGAUGAGUGGCGAACGGGUGAGUAACACGUGAGUAACCUGCCCCCUUCUUCUGGAUAACCGCAUGAAAGUGUGGCUAAUACGGGAUAUUCUGGGUCUGUCGCAUGGUGGGCCUGGGAAAGAUUGCGCCUUUUUUGGUGUUUUUGGUGGGGGAUGGGCUCGCGGCCUAUCAGCUUGUUGGUGGGGUGAUGGCCUACCAAGGCGGUGACGGGUAGCCGGCCUGAGAGGGUGGACGGUCACACUGGGACUGAGACACGGCCCAGACUCCUACGGGAGGCAGCAGUGGGGAAUAUUGCACAAUGGGCGCAAGCCUGAUGCAGCGACGCCGCGUGAGGAAUGGAGGCCUUCGGGUUGUGAACCUCUUUCGCCAGUGAAGCAGGCCUGCCUCUUUUUGUGGGUGGGUUGACGGUAGCUGGAUAAGAAGCGCCGGCUAACUACGU
RNAcentral lists this ribosomal RNA (505 nucleotides) under uncultured bacterium. RNAcentral describes it as "partial 16S ribosomal RNA". It matches the Rfam family "Bacterial small subunit ribosomal RNA", at positions 28 to 506 of the family's 1533-position model. The record is from RNAcentral.